RNAcentral lists this ribosomal RNA (445 nucleotides) under uncultured bacterium. RNAcentral describes it as "partial 16S ribosomal RNA". It matches the Rfam family "Bacterial small subunit ribosomal RNA", at positions 354 to 796 of the family's 1533-position model. The record is from RNAcentral.
GUGAGGAAUAUUGGUCAAUGGGCGAGAGCCUGAACCAGCCAAGUAGCGUGCAGGAUGACGGCCCUAUGGGUUGUAAACUGCUUUUACACGGGGAUAAAGUGUGCGACGUGUCGUUCAUUGCAGGUACCGUGCGAAUAAGGACCGGCUAAUUCCGUGCCAGCAGCCGCGGUAAUACGGAAGGUCCGGGCGUUAUCCGGAUUUAUUGGGUUUAAAGGGAGCGUAGGCCGUCUGUUAAGCGUGUUGUGAAAUGUAGAUGCUCAACAUCUGAAUUGCAGCGCGAAGUGACCGACUUGAGUGCGCAGGAAGUAGGCGGAAUUCGUGGUGUAGCGGUGAAAUGCAUUGAUAUCAGGAGGAACACCGGCGGCGAAAGCGGCAUCCUGGCUUAUAUCUGACGCUGAGGCGCGAAAGCGUGGGUAGCAAACGGGAUUAGAAACCCGGGUAGUCC